AUCUAGCUGACGAGUCCCAAAUAGGGCGAAACGUGAGUCCUGGAU
Molecule: non-coding RNA, 45 nt
Filed under: Schistosoma haematobium
Lineage: Eukaryota; Metazoa; Platyhelminthes; Trematoda; Strigeidida; Schistosomatidae
Source: RNAcentral